UACGUAGGGUGCAAGCGUUAAUCGGAAUUACUGGGCGUAAAGCGUGCGCAGGCGGCAUGUCAAGUCAGAUGUGAAAUCCCCGGGCUUAACCUGGGAACUGCGUUUGAAACUAGCAUGCUAGAGUUUAGGAGAGGGGGGUGGAAUUCCACGUGUAGCAGUGAAAUGCGUAGAUAUGUGGAGGAACACCGAUGGCGAAGGCAGCCCCCUGGCCUAAAACUGACGCUCAUGCACGAAAGCGUGGGGAGCAAACAGG
This 253-nucleotide ribosomal RNA is filed under the name uncultured bacterium. Its description in RNAcentral is "partial 16S ribosomal RNA". It matches the Rfam family "Bacterial small subunit ribosomal RNA", at positions 524 to 776 of the family's 1533-position model. The record is from RNAcentral.